CAACGCGUCACGCCAGACACACAUUAAGGUAUGAAAACAUUCAUUGACAAGAACACAAAAAAAACGCUUAUUAAAAGCUUCUAAAAACAGCAUUGCGUUGUGUUAAACAUUUUUUCAAAAAAAAACGUAACAGUUUUCUUAUAAAAUCGUUUUCGUUUUUAGAAUCGAUUUUAUCAUUCAUGCAAAAAACGAAUGAGUACAAAUUUCGCAAAAGAAAACAUUUGAACCGUGUGUGUUGUGCUUUAACACACCCAGAAGGUCCUUCGUCUGAUGACGGAUCUGUUGAACAAAAACGUUUACCUAUUCGAAUAACACGAGGAAAAAGAUUACAAACAUUAGUUGGUAAAGAUGCAAUUGUUGAUGAAGAAUUUUGGAAGCUUCAAACAUGGGAAGAAAGUACUAGUGAUCAAGAAUGGGUUCCAGGCGAUGAAGAUAUAUCAUCGAAUUCCUCCAUAAAUGAAAUCAGUGAAGAUACAAGUGAAGAUGUUAGUUUAGAUCAGAAUCAAAAAGAAGAUUGUUUGUUAAAGAUGGAACGGUACGAAGAAAAAAAAAAAAUACAGAAAAAAAAGCAGCUUAUUUAUCAAGAUACAAUGAAAACAGGAGGCUUUUUGAAUUUGAAGAAAAAAAAAAUCAAACAGUCUCCUGUUUGUCGAAACCUCAAAAAAAACAUUCAGAAACCAUCACAUCUUUCCGAUGUCGUUCUUCGGGAUACAAUUAGUCAAGAAGAACACCUUUGUUUAGCGGAUGAAACAGAACAAAUUAAUACUCAAAAAGUUUUUGAACGUGUUGAGCUUUCAAAUUGGAAAAAGGCUUUAAAAGAAUCCAAAAAAACUAAAACACGUUGGACAGGUUCAAUGGAGCUUCUCAUUUUCUGGGCUUCAAAUCGAUUAUUAAAUAAUGAAAAGGAAACAACGAAAAUAUGUGCUCCUUACUGUCGACAACUUUUAUUUUUUGCUAAUUUCGAUCAUCCUGAAGAUACAAAAAUACCUUCCAUGUAUACAUUAGAAAAAGGAAAUGUUCCGCUUCCUUCUGUACCUGCUACAUUGCGACAUAAAUAUCGUGAUCCGUUAACAGGGCAACCGUUUUCCACAAAAGAAUCGUUUUUACAAUUACGUGAAAAUGAAGAUGCGCAAUGUCAAAAAUUGAUUGAAGAAGCGUUUUAUGGUGUGGAGGCAAAAUUAAAAACACUUUUAUCUUAUAUGAAUCAAAAUAAUCUUUUGGAACAAUUUUUUAAAUUAAAUGAAUUUCCGGACAUUGACUCUUCUUUUGUAUUUAAAAAAAAAUUACAAACAACACCUUGGAUUAAGACUUCUUCAACGCAUACAUCACCGCUUGACAUAAUUCCUUCAGAUAAUACAAUAGAAAAAUAUAGCAUAGGCAAUUUUUCGAACGAGACCCUUACAAAUAGUUUACCUAAUAUAAAGAGUUCUCCUUUGAUUGAAAAACCGCAUAUAAAAGAGACAACUGAACAGCCGCAAACCUUAUCUGUAUGUUUGAAUGACAUUUCUAUGAAAGGCAAGAAAAGAUCCACCGUUAAACGUUCUGAUACCAAAAAAUCCAAAGUAAGACGCGUUAACGAUUUAGCAGAAGUCACUUAUCCAAGACAACCGUUACGUAUUCAUUCGUCACCUCAGCAGUGUAUGAGUUCUCAAGGUGGUGAGAGUGCCUCUAUGCAACAAACCACAUCAGUUCAACAACAGUAUAUGUCGUACAUUUCGUUUUUAAACCAACAGUAUGCCAUGCUGAAACAGUGCCAAGAGUAUCAUCCUCUACAGGGUUCGUUUUUCUAUCCUACGAAUGAUGCGUAUCAUCAAAUGUAUCCUCAAAGUUUACUGUUUAUGAAUUCAACUGGUUUACAUGUUCCUGUAAAUUUUAAUCCCUUACCAUCUUCGUAUUAUCCACCCUGUGUCAGUCCCUAUCCCAUGUUUGUUCCAGGUUCCUUAUCGUAUUCUUUUCCCGACGCAGUCAAUUCAACAUGUCAACUCCCAACAUCAGCACACUCCCUUCCGCCUUCAAAGGCGAUGAAUUUUUGUUCUAUUACAACUAAAGAAUCCUUUACUUGAUAGAUUUUACAAAAGUCAUUUUUACAUUAAAACUCGACUAUUUUUUAAUAGUUUUAUUUAUGACAAGCUAACUACUAACAUACAUUUUUUAUUUUUUUGGGUAAAAAUUGUUUUUUACUAGAAACACAUACUGUAUACAUCACCUUUUCUGUAGACUUUUUAACAAAAAUGCUUCACGGCACGCGUUUACCAAUACCUUGUGCCAAUUUUUUUGUUCUUAACGGUAGUCCACAUGUGUUAAUCUGUUCUACAGUAAGAAAGCAACGGAUAUGUCUACUUUCUGUUAAAAGCGACAAGGACCAUGGAUAAAUUUUACUACGAACAAAAAAACGAAACAAAAACAGAGUUUAAUCCAGACAUCGAUUUUGAAACAUUUAAAGUGUUAGAUCGUUCAUUCAAUUUUGAAAAAAAAAGUGAUGAAGUGAACGAUUAUGAAGAUUUGACACAAACCAUUUUAGACAUUCCUAGAAAAUUAACAAUUGAAGACAAUUCUCCUUAUUUUUUGAAUAAUGACAAAUCUGAAAUUUUAGAGUGUGAGGUCAAAAGUAUUGUUGAAGGUUUUAACAAUGUCGAAGAGGAAGAAAAUUUUCCUGCUGUUGAAAAAGCGUCUGCUGAGGCAGCCGGUUCUGCAGAAAUUAUAUUAAUUUGUACAAGUUUGGGUUCAAUACGCCGUCAAUUUUUCUCUUCACGACGGGCUAAAAAUUUUUUAGAUUGCAAAGGUGCUCAAUAUUUUUUAAUUGACGCCAACCGAGAUGUUUCCGCAGGAAACAAUUUAAAAGAUCAACAUUUAUUGAAUCAAUGGGUUGCCAUGAACUUAUUAAAAUUAAACCCAAAAACUAGUACAGAAGGUGACACUUGUUCCAUUGCAAUACCUCAAAUCCUUAUUGAUGGUAUACCUAUUGGUAAUGAAACCUCGCUACAAGAUUUAGAGGAAGAUACAUAUUUGGAUCUCAUGAUUGUACAAUCCAUUUGUCCAGCUUGUCUUACAAGCCGCAAUCCUCAAGAUAAACAAUGUUCUUCAUGCUCCGCUAAUUUUUUACGACUGAUUCCGCCAGAUUUCGUAACCGAACAAACGAUCCAACAAAUUUGUUGUGGACAAUUGUAUUAUAAUGAUUCAGAAGAGGUCUUUGAAUCACCUUUUUGAUUAAUAUUGUAUUAAACAAAAAAAGAAAAAAAUUAAAAUUUAUAUCUUUAAUUAAACAGUAAACUUUAAUACUUUUUUUCUAACAAGUCUUGUAAAGCAAAACUGAAUAGAAAAAAAUGUCAGGGUUUUACAGACUCCGAUGAUCUAACUCCCACCUUUUCGCAAAAUGAUUAAAUAAUUUUUAUUUUUCAUUCACAUAUUUAAACUGUGUUAUUC
RNA transcript from Hylaeus volcanicus, 3423 nucleotides. RefSeq lists it as uncharacterized. NCBI's taxonomy places the organism in Eukaryota, Metazoa, Arthropoda, Insecta, Hymenoptera, Colletidae. The transcript has 14 exons. The record is from RefSeq and is a predicted model, not a curated record.